GCGCCAGUAGCUCAGCUGGAUAGAGCAACGGACUUCUAAUCCGUAGGCCGGGGGUUCGAAUCCCUCCUGGCGCGCCA
RNAcentral lists this transfer RNA (77 nucleotides) under Clostridia bacterium. RNAcentral's name for it is "tRNA-Arg". It matches the Rfam family "tRNA". Rfam says of the family: Transfer RNA (tRNA) molecules are approximately 80 nucleotides in length. Their secondary structure includes four short double-helical elements and three loops (D, anti-codon, and T loops). Further hydrogen bonds mediate the characteristic L-shaped molecular structure. tRNAs have two regions of fundamental functional importance: the anti-codon, which is responsible for specific mRNA codon recognition, and the 3' end, to which the tRNAs corresponding amino acid is attached (by aminoacyl-tRNA synthetases). tRNAs cope with the degeneracy of the genetic code in two manners: having more than one tRNA (with a specific anti-codon) for a particular amino acid; and 'wobble' base-pairing, i.e. permitting non-standard base-pairing at the 3rd anti-codon position. RNAcentral also lists the same sequence under 4 other names. Lineage: Bacteria; Bacillati; Bacillota; Clostridia. The record is from RNAcentral.